CCUUUGCUUUUCCCAGACCUGGGAGGAGGACCACGUUGGCACCUAAAUUGAUGCCCCGCUGGGCGGAGGAGCUUGACUGCACCCUGCCUCCCGUGUUUGGGGGGGUUGGCCGUGGGCUGCUUCUGCAGCCCUGGGCUGCGGUGGGGGUGGGGGGAAGGGAGGGAUCUUCACUGUACUACUAUGAGAGAUGAGUACUCUUCCAUGUAAUAAUUGCUUGCUGUUUUGGGGUGAUACCAACGUUUGGGCUGUGAGCGGAGGUGACCCGCGGUACAGGUAAAGAGACCUAGAGCCACGACGUUUUGGGAGGUGGAGGAUGCAGGCGAUUGCGCGCCGAGGGUGACUUCAGGGUCACCUGGAAGCAGGCCUCUGCCCCUUUGCUGGAGUUGUGUGCAUGACCACAGCGUGCAGAUCCUGCCCCGGGGGGAUGGAAAUGAAUGCUGCUUCACGGAGUGGAGCCGAGCAGUGCCCACGCAGGCGGAAGCAGGAGGCAUUGAAUGCUGUGAGAGUCACACCUCAUGGCAAACAUCUGAAUUUGUGCAUGGCCCUGACCAGGAAGGCUUUCUUGAUUGGACUAUGUCUGUAAACUUCCAUUGGCCUGUUUGUUUCAACCUCUGCCCAACAUACCAGGGGAUGAAGUUGUCCCCCACAGUGUUCUGGUGUCAGAAGUGGGACGCAGCGGAACACAGAGCUGGGAGCUUGAAGAGUCUGGAGACACAGCUGACACCUGUGGCGCCAAC
Alligator sinensis (Chinese alligator) is the source of this 737-nucleotide long non-coding RNA. RefSeq lists it as uncharacterized. The transcript is spliced from 3 exons. NCBI's taxonomy places the organism in Eukaryota, Metazoa, Chordata, Crocodylia, Alligatoridae. The record is from RefSeq and is a predicted model, not a curated record.